RNAcentral lists this ribosomal RNA (449 nucleotides) under uncultured bacterium. RNAcentral's name for it is "bacterial SSU rRNA". It matches the Rfam family "Bacterial small subunit ribosomal RNA", at positions 29 to 521 of the family's 1533-position model. The record is from RNAcentral.
AGCGAACGCUGGCGGCAGGCUUAACACAUGCAAGUCGAGCGGGCGUAGCAAUACGUCAGCGGCAGACGGGUGAGUAACGCGUGGGAACGUACCUUUGGUUCGGAACAACACAGGGAAACUUGUGCUAAUACCGGAUAAGCCCUUACGGGGAAAGAUUUAUCGCCGAAAGAUCGGCCCGCGUCUGAUUAGCUAGUUGGUGAGGUAACGGCUCACCAAGGCGACGAUCAGUAGCUGGUCUGAGAGGAUGAUCAGCCACAUUGGGACUGAGACACGGCCCAAGCUCCUACGGGAGGCAGCAGUGGGGAAUACUGGACAAUGGGGGCAACCCUGAUCCAGCCAUGCCGCGUGAGUGAUGAAGGCCCUAGGGUUGUAAAGCUCUUUUGUGCGGGAAGAUAAUGACGGUACCGCAAGAAUAAGCCCCGGCUAAACUUCGUGCCAGCAGCCGCGGU